AUUACAAACAGCAGAUAUCCUCACAAAGCCGUUGUCAAACAAUCAACACGUUGCUUUAAAGAAUCAACUUCAAGUGCUUCAUAAAAAGGAUAAUUUGCCAUAGCCCACACCCUUAGUUUCAGGGGGGUGCAUUAAGAGUGUAGUUAUUAAAAUGUAAAUUAUCCAUAUUACCCCUAGGUAAAAAUACUUUGCAUUAGUGUAUUUUGUAACUUUUCCUCUCAUUCUAAUAAAAUCAGAAAAGUGCACAUGGGGUUUCUCUCUCCCCUAACCGUUUUCCUCCAUUGAAACUCUUAAGCUUUUCUUCUCUUCUUCUCCGUUUUACACUUUAACUCUAUGAGUUUCGGAUGUUCAAACUUCAGUGCAUUCAAAUCAGACACUGUUGUCCUUCAAACUACUAAGGAGAUUGUGGACAUACUGAAAUGUUCCUUAGUCUCAGAGACACCUCUAACUGAUUAUUUCUUAGGAAAAAGAAGGUCCAUGAGAAAGCACCAUUAAGGAUUUCAUUGCUUUUUAAUAUUAGUUAUACCGAAGCUAAUGUUAGAGGUGAGUUGAUGAAACUAAAGGUAGUAAUAAGGAAAUCAAAGAAGAAGGUAUUGUUUGUUGUAGCUGAGGAAGAUUUUGUUGACAUUCUAUUCAGUUUUUUGACAUUCCCGUUGGGAGGUGUUGAGCAUAUGUUGAAAGGUAAAUCAUUCAUGCAUGGGAAGUAUUGAUAAUUUGUACAAAAGUUCGUAGGGAAAUGUUUGAAUUCUCCUUCUCUAAAAACAGAUAUUGCCCAUUGAUGAAGUUCGUAGGGAAUAUAUUUGGAUCCAUGUUUCUCCCUUAAGUUAUUUGGAUCCAUGUUCAUCAAAUUGUUGCUCCCUUAAGUUCGUAGGGAAUAUAUUUUCAUUGUAAAGAUAUUGUUGACUAAAUGUAGUUUUUAUGGCAUUGCAGUGUCUCAGUCUUCUUAAAGCUUCUCUUUUUUCAGCGUCGGCUCUAUCAGAUGCACUCCGUCAAUUCCUUUAUCCCAUUUAGGAGGAAAAAAAGAUUAUUAACUAAAUAUAAAAUGAAGUUAUUUACGUUUUGAUUUUCAUCAGUACUGUUUAAU
This 1084-nucleotide long non-coding RNA is filed under the name Lupinus mutabilis. Its description in RNAcentral is "partial ncRNA". The record is from RNAcentral. Lineage: Eukaryota; Viridiplantae; Streptophyta; Magnoliopsida; Fabales; Fabaceae.